This 487-nucleotide ribosomal RNA is filed under the name uncultured bacterium. RNAcentral describes it as "bacterial SSU rRNA". It matches the Rfam family "Bacterial small subunit ribosomal RNA", at positions 28 to 507 of the family's 1533-position model. The record is from RNAcentral.
GAUGAACGCUAGCUACAGGCUUAACACAUGCAAGGUCGAGGGGUAGCACGGAGGAAGCUUGCUUCCUUGGGUGACGACCGGCGCACGGGUGAGUAACGCGUAUCCGACCUACCCAUAACACGGGCACAGCCGCUCGAAAGAGUGAUUGAUUCCCGAUAUGUUAUAUAAGUAGAUUAUAUAAUGAAAGAUUUAUCGGUUAUGGAUGGGGAUGCGUAAGAUUAGGUAGUAGGCGGGGUAACGGCCCACCUAGCCGACGAUCUUUAGGGGUUCUGAGAGGAAGGUCCCCCACACUGGUACUGAGACACGGACCAGACUCCUACGGGAGGCAGCAGUGAGGAAUAUUGGUCAAUGGUCGAGAGACUGAACCAGCCAAGUCGCGUGAGGGAAGACUGCCCUAUGGGUUGUAAACUUCUUUUGUUCGGGAAUAAAGUGCAGUAUGUAUACUGUUUUGUAUGUACCGUUCGAAUAAGCAUCGGCUAAUUCCGUG